Molecule: ribosomal RNA, 493 nt
Filed under: uncultured bacterium
Lineage: Bacteria
Description: partial 16S ribosomal RNA
Rfam family: Bacterial small subunit ribosomal RNA
Source: RNAcentral
GACGAACGCUGGCGGCAUGCUUUACACAUGCAAGUCGAACGGUAACAGGUUAAGCUGACGAGUGGCGAACGGGUGAGUAAUGCAUCGGAACGUGCCCGAUCGUGGGGGAUAACGCAGCGAAAGCUGCGCUAAUACCGCAUACGAUCUGAGGAUGAAAGCGGGGGACCGUGAGGCCUCGCGCGAUCGGAGCGGCCGAUGUCCGAUUAGGUAGUUGGUGGGGUAAAGGCCCACCAAGCCGACGAUCUGUAGCUGGUCUGAGAGGACGACCAGCCACACUGGGACUGAGACACGGCCCAGACUCCUACGGGAGGCAGCAGUGGGGAAUUUUGGACAAUGGGCGAAAGCCUGAUCCAGCAAUGCCGCGUGCAGGAAGAAGGCCUUCGGGUUGUAAACUGCUUUUGUACGGAGCGAAAAGGUCCUUUCUAAUACAAGGGGCUCAUGACGGUACCGUAAGAAUAAGCACCGGCUAACUACGUGCCAGCCGCCGCGGUAA